GGACUUUAGCUCAGAGGCAGAGUGCUUGCCUAGUAUGUGUGAGGCACUGGGUUCAAUCCUCAGAACCG
RNAcentral lists this transfer RNA (68 nucleotides) under Marmota monax (woodchuck). Its description in RNAcentral is "tRNA.Thr". Lineage: Eukaryota; Metazoa; Chordata; Mammalia; Rodentia; Sciuridae. The record is from RNAcentral.